Long non-coding RNA from Oncorhynchus keta (chum salmon), 1609 nucleotides. RefSeq lists it as uncharacterized. Lineage: Eukaryota; Metazoa; Chordata; Actinopteri; Salmoniformes; Salmonidae. The transcript is spliced from 3 exons. The record is from RefSeq and is a predicted model, not a curated record.
GGAGUAUUGACAGAUCUGGGACCAGCUCUGUCCAGGAGUAUUGACAGAUCUGGGACCUGCUCUGUCCAGGAGUAUUGACAGAUCUGGGACCAGCUCUGUCCAGGAGUAUUGACAGAUCUGGGACCUGCUCUGUCCAGGAGUAUUGACAGAUCUGGGACCUGCUCUGUCCAGGAGUAUUGACAGAUCUGGGACCUGCUCUGUCCAGGAGUAUUGACAGAUCUGGGACCAGCUCUGUCCAGGAGUAUUGACAGAUCUGGGACCAGCUCUGUCCAGGAGUAUUGACAGAUCUGGGACCUGCUCUGUCCAGGAGUAUUGACAGAUCUGGGACCUGCUCUGUCCAGGAGUAUUGACAGAUCUGGGACCUGCUCUGUCCAGGAGUAUUGACAGAUCUGGGACCAGCUCUGUCCAGGAGUAUUGACAGAUCUGGGACCAGCUCUGUCCAGGAGUAUUGACAGAUCUGGGACCAGCUCUGUCCAGGAGUAUUGACAGAUCUGGGACCAGCUCUGUCCAGGAGUAUUGACAGAUCUGGGACCUGCUCUGUCCAGGAGUAUUGACAGAUCUGGGACCGGCUCUGUCCAGGAGUAUUGACAGAUCUGGGACCGGCUCUGUCCAGGAGUAUUGACAGAUCUGGGACCGGCUCUGUCCAGGAGUAUUGACAGAUCUGGGACCGGCUCUGUCCAGGAGUAUUGACAGAUCUGGGACCGGCUCUGUCCAGGAGUAUUGACAGAUCUGGGACCGGCUCUGUCCAGGAGUAUUGACAGAUCUGGGACCGGCUCUGUCCAGGAGUAUUGACAGAUCUGGGACCGGCUCUGACCAGGAGUAUUGACAGAUCUGGGACCGGCUCUGACCAGGAGUAUUGACAGAUCUGGGACCGGCUCUGACCAGGAGUAUUGACAGAUCUGGGACCAGCUCUGACCAGGAGUAUUGACAGAUCUGGGACCGGCUCUGUCCAGGAGUAUUGACAGAUCUGGGACCGGCUCUGUCCAGGAGUAUUGACAGAUCUGGGACCAGCUCUCUGUCUGCUCUCUCUACAGGACUGUUGAUAGGUUUCACAGACAUCAUUGUUUCUCUCUGUGUUCCAGUGUGCUCUCUACAGGACUGUUGAUAGGUUUCACAGACAUAAUUGUUUCUCUCUGUGUUCCAGUGUGCUCUCUACAGGACUGUUGAUAGGUUUCACAGACAUCAUUGUUUCUCUCUGUGUUCCAGUGUUUCACAGACAUCAUUGUUUCUCUCUGUGUUCCAGUGUGCUCUCUACAGGACUGUUGAUAGGUUUCACAGACAUCAUUGUUUCUCUCUGUGUUCCAGUGUGCUCUCUACAGGACUGUUGAUAGGUUUCACAGACAUCAUUGUUUCUCUCUGUGUUCCAGUGUACACUCUACAGGACUGUUGAUAGGUUUCACAGACAUCAUUGUUUCUCUCUGUGUUCCAGUGUGCUCUCUACAGGACUGUUGAUAGGUUUCACAGACAUCAUUGUUUCUCUCUGUGUUCCAGUGUACACUCUACAGGACUGUUGAUAGGUUUCACAGACAUCAUUGUUUCUCUCUGUGUUCCAGUGUGCUCUCUACAGGACUGUUGAUAGGUUUCACAGACAUCAUUGUUUCUCUCUGUG